Molecule: long non-coding RNA, 369 nt
Filed under: Marmota monax (woodchuck)
Lineage: Eukaryota; Metazoa; Chordata; Mammalia; Rodentia; Sciuridae
Source: RNAcentral
GCCUGAAACCUCCCAGUAGGGGGCAGAACUUCCAGCAUCCUGAUUCUGUCUUUCCACCAUGUGACUAUUUCCUAUUGACACAUCUGUCAAGCCACUGACAUUUUGGAAGAAAAAUAGAGAUGUGCAUAUUUUAAGGAGACUCUGAAUUUUGUAAAUGAGGUAUGCCUCUGAGACCCGCCCUCCUAGCUGAGGAGACACGUUCCUCAAGGUGGUUUGAACGUUCAGAACAACAGACUGUCUUCUGUGACCAAAAUUGUGGCCAGAGUCCUCUGAGUCCUUUGCUUGACGAGGCCUGAACUUGGAUUUCCCUCUCUGGCCCUGGAGAAUCCAGUCUGAGCAAGAAUCCUGCUUGCUCACUUUAUGGAAAAC